CUUCCCAGCCGGGUCUUUUGCUUUGGCGGUGGUGGCUGCAGCGCCGGUCUUCCCCAGCAUCCGCGGCGCGCUGGGAAUCCGCUGCGGAAUGGUGUGGUGGCUCGAUUCUCCCAGUGCCUGGCUGAGUUUCGGACGUGGUUAAGAACCAACUGGUUGAGGUUCAAUGCAGACAAGACGGAUGUGAUGCUGAAAAUGUGCAUCAGAUGUUUAUGUUUAAUUGGUUUACAGACUGUCUGUGGACUCUUUUCCUGUCAAAUUACCAGCCAUCUGUUGCGUCUUCAAGUCCAGGAGGUUCAGCAACAUCAGAUGACCAUGAAUUUGAUCCAUCAGCUGACAUGCUGGUUCAUGAUUUUGAUGAUGAACGAACAUUAGAAGAGGAAGAAAUGAUGGAAGGAGAAACAAACUUCAGUUCUGAAAUAGAGGAUCUUGCAAGGGAAGGCGUCAUGCCAAUCCAUGAACUUCUCAGCCUUUAUGGUUAUGAUAGUACUGUUCCACUACCUGAAGAAGAUGAGGAGGAGGAGGAAGAGGAGGAAGAAGGUGAAGAUGAUGAAGAUGCUGAUAAUGAUGAUAACAGUGGCUGUAGUGGGGAAAAUAAAGAAGAGAAUAUAAAAGAUUCCUCAGGUCAAGAGGAUGAAACUCAGUCUUCCAAUGAUGAUCCAUCACAAUCUGUUGCUUCUCAAGAUGCCCAGGAAAUAAUCCGUCCUCGUCGAUGUAAAUAUUUUGAUACAAACAGUGAAAUAGAAGAAGAAUCUGAAGAAGAUGAAGAUUAUAUACCAUCAGAAGACUGGAAAAAGGAGAUUAUGGUGGGCUCCAUGUUCCAAGCAGAGAUUCCAGUUGGCAUUUGUAGAUACAAAGAAAAUGAAAAAGUAUAUGAAAAUGAUGAUCAGCUCCUGUGGGACCCUGAGUACUUACCAGAAGACAGAGUGAUUGUAUUUCUUAAGGAUGCAUCUAGAAGAACAGGUGAUGAGAAAGGUGUAGAAGCAAUUCCUGAAGGAUCUCACAUAAAAGACAAUGAACAGGCAUUAUAUGAAUUAGUUAAAUGCAAUUUUGAUACAGAAGAAGCAUUGAGAAGAUUAAGAUUUAAUGUAAAAGCAGCUAGAGAGGAAUUAUCUGUUUGGACAGAGGAAGAGUGUAGAAAUUUUGAGCAAGGGUUGAAGGCCUAUGGAAAGGACUUUCAUUUGAUUCAGGCUAAUAAAGUUCGAACAAGGUCAGUUGGUGAAUGUGUAGCCUUCUAUUAUAUGUGGAAAAAAUCUGAACGUUACGAUUUCUUUGCUCAGCAAACACGAUUUGGAAAGAAGAAAUAUAAUCUUCAUCCUGGUGUAACAAAUAAUGUUCACACACGAGCUACAGGCAAUCUGUCGUCAUCAGCAGUAAGAACAUAAGAAUUGCCAUGCUGGGUCAGACCCAUGGUUCAUCCAGUUUUCUCUUUCAGAAAGCAUCACCAAGGGAAGUGUUGUGGGCUGGCUUAGUUGGUCCUCUGUGAUGUCAAGCUCAACAGGUUAGGUAGGGAUGUGCUGCCAAACAGUUUUUCUAAUAAUCUCUCCAUAGCUUGAAAUUUUUUCGAAGAUACUUGUACCUGUAACCUUGAUUCUUCUGAAGGUUAAAGUAUUUUGUAUGUGGAAAAGCCAAAGUUAAAAGUAAUCCCGUAUCUUCUCUUUUCUCAGGCUUUAAGAGUUAACAAUAUGUCCCCUGGUGUUACGGUAUGAAGUGAACAAAUGUUUUCCCCCGUAGAUAUAGGUUUCAGCUAUAUCCCCCUCUGGGUCUUUUAUAAAGUUUUUUUAUUAAUUGAAAGAAGUAGAAUUUUUUACUCCUAGUCAUCCCUUUGAGCCAUGUUAUAUCUCCUAUAAGAAGCCACGACCAGACUGUGUAUUAUUUCCUGAUGGGGAAAAAUUGUGGUUUUCUGUAGGCACAGAGAUAUUCUAGUUCAUUUCCAGGGCCUUCUCUUACUGUUAAUAGUUGUGCUUUAAGUGACCAUGGAAAGAAUUAAGUUAAUGCCUUUAGACAAAAAUUUGAAUGAAUUUUAAAUCUUCCUUUUUAGUCGUAAUCCACAGUUAAGAGCAAAUUAUCCUGGAAGUUAUUUGUUCAUUUUUCUAUUACAUUGUUACCUUCCAUUUGUUCAUCAGAAUGAAGCACAUUUGCCACCUUUCUGCCUAUAAAAGGCCUUUGAAAGAUCCUACUGUGAUUCUCUUUAUUCACUACUUGGAAGAAUUGGUAGCCAUGCACAAAUUGGAGAUUUUGCUCUUAAGAGCCUUGCAGAUAGUUGUGGGGGUUUUUUUGUUUGUUUUUUUGUUUUUUGUUUUUGUUUUUUGGUUUUUUUAAGAGUAAAAAUUAACUCAGCGUAAUUCUGACUAUCUGAAUACUACACCAACCCUCAUGGAUGGUUUCUCUGACUCCUCAUUCUGAAUGCUGUUAGCCUUUAAGAAACAAUAGUAAUGAUUCUUUGAUAAUAUCACUGUUAUAUUGAGACAUUUAAAAUAAUGUUGAUAUGUAGUCAGUUAUAACUCCCUUGCUUGGCUCCAUUAUCCAUUCCCACUAUGCCAGAUUUAUUUCCAACAAGUCCUUCUCAGGCAUCAUUUGUUCCUAUUAACUUUAGCUUUUGCAGUCCUUUGGUAUUGCAUUCAUCAUGUUUGUCCUGUUUCUGUGUGCUUCGGAUUUACUACCUAUUUGUUCUAUAAUGAUGAAUGACAUAAAGCUGAAGAGGUCUUUAAAAGACCAUCAGACUUAAUUCCCACCAUUUAUAGAUGAGGAAAGUAAGGCCUAGAAUUUUAUUUUAUUUUAUUUUAUUUUUUUAGGGCCGCAGCCACGGCAAGUGGUGGUUCCCAGGCUAGGGGUCUAAUCGGAGCUGUAGCCGCCAGCCUACACUAGAGCCACAGCAACUCGGGAUCCAAGCCACGUCUGCAGCCUCCACCACAGCUCACGGCAACGCCAGAUCCUUAACCCACUGAGCGAGGCCAGGGAUUGAACCUACAACCUCAUGGUUCCUAGUCGGAUUCAUUAACCACUGAGCCAUGAAGGGAACUCCUAGAAUUUUAUAUUGCUUAGCUUGCGGUCAUAAAUGUUUCUUUGAUAUGUGUUAGUUUUGUACCUCUGACCGUUAGAAUAUCCUUAAGGUCAGAUUCCAAAUCCCUGUAUUAUAAGCUACAUAUUUUUAUCUGUAGUUUUUGUAUAAACUACAGACUACUAUCUGUAGCUCUGUAUAAACUACAUGUUUAUAAUAUACAUCCUUAUGUAUAAACUAUAAUGUGGUCAUGUUGCUCAGAGUAAAAACUACAGGUAAUAGUCUGUUGUAGAUUUUUUUUUUUUCUUUUGUCUGUUGUUGUUGUUGUUGUUGUUGUUGUUGUUGUUGUUGUUGCUAUUUCUUGGGCCGCUCCCGCGGCAUAUGGAGGUUCCCAGGCUAGGGGUCGAAUCUGAGCUGUAGCCACUGGCCUACGCCAGAGCCACAGCAACGCGGGAUCCGAGCCGCGUCUGCAACCUACACCACAGCUCAUGGCAACGCCGGAUCGUUAACCCACUGAGCAAGGGCAGGGACCGCAACCUCAUGGUUCCUAGUCGGAUUCGUUAACCACUGCGCCACGACGGGAACUCCUGUUGUAGAUUUUUACCACAGACUUUUCAGAAAAGUCCUAAGCCCUUCCAUGAUUUCUUUCUUAUCCACAUUCUUAAUUACCCUGCUCACAAAAUUCUAAAAGGUUUAUUUCCUUUAUACUUAUUCCAAGAGAAUUUUUAAAUAAGUAAUAUAGCCAAGUUUUUUUUUUACACUUGUACUCUGUACCAUGCACAACUUGGGCAUGAGUGGUGCAGUGGUAAAGCAGACUAAAUUCCCUGCUUUCAGAGAAUUAUUCUAGCACAGGUGACAGAAGACUUUUUCUGUAAGAGCUAGAAAGUAAAUAUCUUAGGCUUUGGAAGCCUUAAGGUCUCUUGCAACUACUUAGCUCUGCUGUUGUUUUGCAGAAACAGUUAUAGACACUGUGUAAAUGAAUGGAUGUUGUGUUGCCGUGUUCGGUAAAAUAUUAUCCACAGGAACAGGUGGCCAGCCCACAGGCCAUAGUUUGCCAAACUUCAUUCCAGUGACUUAAUAGCAACUUUAUAAUUUAUAAAAUACUUUGCUACAUUUAUCUUAUCCAAUGACCCUCUGUGGUAGAUAGGUCAUUUAUGAUUACAUGUACUUUAUAGGUAAAGACACUAAACCUCAAAAGAGAAGUACUAUCUUUUAAUCUCAACUCAGUGUCACUAAUCUUGUCUUUGGUGUCAUAUAUAUAGUUCAGGAAUGACUUAGGGAAGAAGUGAGCUCUCUUCUAACAAUAUACUGGCAGAUAAUUGCUUGACUUACCAUAUUUAGCUCAGAUCUAGCAGGAAGGUAAUAUAGAAGGUAACCAGGAAAUUUCAGGAAGGCAAUUCAUUGUUAGGUCCUAAUUUGUCUCUCAGGUACUGCCAUAGCCAUCAAAUAGUGUUUAGGAACUUGAUAAUUCCAAUCUGUGUCUGUUCAGAAUUCUUUUGUACUCCUUCUGAGUGACAUCAUUCCUGUCUCUUCACUUACAGUUUCUCUGUUUGUAGUUGGGCCACUCUGAUCACUUGCGUAGUUUUAAAAAAAUUUAAAACUUCCUGUAGGUCUUUAAAAUUUGCUAGCAUAAAGCCUUUACACAUUUUUCCACAAACAUGUAACCAGAAGGACCUUUCCAUUUAAAUGUUCAGAUCCUGGUGUCAUAGAUGAGGCACUGGAAUGAAUGUAAGUGAAAAUUAGGAUACAUGUGCUAAUCAAGUCUUGUACAUUUAACCUCGGUCACUUUUAAUUUUCAGCUGUUUUGAACAUAAGAAAGUAAUUUUUAUUAUUUCACUCACUUUUAAGGGAUUACAUGGAUCGUCUUCUAGAUGAAAGUGAAAGUGCUGCUUCUAGUCGCGCACCAUCCCCUCCUCCAACUGCCUCAAACAGUAGUAACAGCCAGUCGGAAAAAGAAGAUGGCACUAUAAGCAAUAGUAAUCAAAAUGGGGUGUCAUCUAAUGGACCAGGUGAAGUGUUAAACAAAGAAGAAGUGAAAGUUGAAGGGUUGCACAUUAAUGGACCAACAGGUGGAAAUAAGAAACCACUUCACACAGAUAUGGAUACUAAUGGUUAUGAAACAGAUAACCUUACCAGUGACCCAAAACUUGCCCUUAUGACUACAAGAAAUGAAAAUGAUUUUGAUGAAAAAAGUGAGAGACCUGCCAAAAGGCGAAGGGUAAACAGCAAUGGAAAAGAAAGUCCAGGUUCUUCUGAAUUUUUCCAAGAUGCAAUUUCACAUGGAAAGUUUGAAGAACUUGAGAACACGGAUGACUAAAUUUUAGACUUAUUUUACUUUCUUUGGAGUAAAUUCUGGUGUGACUAAAAUUUUCAGGGUUGAGGGGUUACCUUAAAAAGUUGAUUUCCUUGAAGCAGUUGGUGAAAAUUUGAAAAUUUGAAUUGAGAUCCUAACUUUAGUAACUAAGAUUUCAUAAUUCUGCCUUUUGCAGAUUUUUUUACUUUAAAAUUGUAAAGACCCUUUUAAUGAUAUAACAGUUUACUAAAUUUGAAUGAACUAAAGCAAUAUCUGUACCUUCUUAUUUGAUAUAUUAAUUCUAAAAUUCCACUACAAGGUACUUUUUGUUAGUUUGAUGAUAGAGAAGAGAAAACCAAGUUCAAAUUUGAUUAACACCAAUUUUUCUGAGUUUCUGAAAAUGUCUUUUAUAACAGACAUUUUUCUCUCCAUACAAAUUAAGUACCAUUAUUGAGGAAACCCGUAUGAAUCCUGAAAGUUAUGCUAGCAUGAUUUUUUUAUAUAUAGAAGUUUAAAAAUAAACCAAGUCAGGUUUGAUAUGUAAAAUUGUUGACAUCAAUGAUGUCUUUCCAUAUUCUUAUCUGGGCUUAAGAAAUACAUUCUGUAUUUUUCCAGAUUCUUUGUAGCCUUUGAAAGAUUUCUACAGUACAUAUGUCUUGACUGAGCUGUCCUUUAAUACAAAAGCUUGUAUAAUUUUCUUAACUUGUACAGUUGGUAAACUUUUAUGGGAGAAAUUGAUAUUCUGAAUCUCUCAGCUUUCAUUUUAUUUUGCUAAGGUUUUUCUAAUGAAUUUUUAAGUGUUUGUGUAGUAACUAAGUCAUGUUUCUUAUCCAGGUGGUAAAAGCAUUCAUAAAGGAUUGUGAACAUUUGUUUUUUUCAAAUUCCUACUUAAGGACACAUAGCUUGAGAAUUCUGAAAUUAAGCAUGGUACUUAGAUCGCAUAGUUUGUUUUACAUUUGCUAUGAUUUUCAAAAUUAUUUUUGAAGCAAGACAAAAGUUUAAUGUUGGCUUAAGUGCUUAAAUGUAUCAUGCUGACCAGAAUCCUGUUCAGUUAUUUUUGUAUGCAUUAUGAAGUUUCCCAUUUUUUGCAUUAAAUAAACAGGGGAAAAGGUCGAGUGAUAGUUAGAAAAGUUUUUAGAUUUUUUUUCAUUUACAGUCCAGGUUUUCCAAUUUGAUAAUGUAUUUCCAAAAUGAAAAUAAGAUAUGCAGUAAACCAUCACCCUGUGUGAUUACAAACGAGAUCAUCCAUUUGCAUAGCCUUGCAAGAGUGCCAUUUUAUUUUUAGUGCAAAAUUCUUGUUAAAAAUUGUAGUUUUAUAAAGCUGAUAGACCAACCUAUAUCCAAACUUUUAUAAAAGAUUAUUAACUAUUCUUGUUUUAUCACACAGGCAUACCCCAGAUGCUUCUGCCAAUUCAUUUGCAGCCAUCAGAGAGCCACUGCCUUUUUAAAAUAAAUCUUCUGUGGUCUUGUUUUUAAUGGCUCAACUGUCUGAUGUAAUUGAGUAGAGGUUUGCACUGAGAGACUGUGGUUUAGGCCUUACCCCCAUGAAGUAUUACUGUUAGCCUCUGUUCGUUCAGACUGCUUCCCUCCACCAAUGUGAACAACUUUUUUUCCCCAAACAGUGUUAAAAGCCACUUUCCAGCACUUGACUUCCUAUGAUGUAGAUUCACUGUUGUAACAUACAUAUCCAUAGUAAAUAUCCAGGUAAAUCCAAAUUUAGGGUGGAAGUGUUGAGAAGCGUGAAUUUUUUUGUUUUGUUUUAUGACAUUAUCCAGAAUGGCAGCUUUAGCAGAUGGUCACAAUCCAUUUUCUAAAUCAGACUUUAUUAUACAAGUCCAAAGUAUCCUAGCUCUUUGUCAAAGAUAGUCUAUAGAAAUAUUUCAAACAAAUAGUGAUGCUGUACUUUUUUAAAAAAUUGUUGCAAUAUUAGAGAUGCCAUUUUCACCUUUUUUAAAAGAUGCAUUUUGUUUGCAGGUUUGUGAAGUUCUUGCAAACUGAUACUACAAGACAACAUUUUAAAUAAAUUCUCAGGCAUGUUUGCAAAUACGGCACAUGUUGUAUACAUAUUAGGAAAUUUUACUUUUCUUAAUCUUUUUAAAGUAUGCCUAAUGAAAGACAUUCCACUAUUAUAAUACAUAAUGCUCAGCUUUUCAUAAAGAAAUAUUUAAUUGUUUAUACAGGUAUUUCACACAGUACUUUGUUCUUUACAAUACAGCCACUAUAACUUGAUAAGUCAUUGCACUACUUUAAAAUUUUUAGUAAUAUCAUGAACUUAAUUUGCUUAAGAUUUAGUACAUUUCGUAACUCUUGACAAAUUGCAUUGGGAAAGGGAGCCUUUGUUAAUAGUUACUGAGUCUCCCUCACUCCACGCCUACCCCAGCAGAGCACUCUAUUCAUUUGGAAUGGUUUUCUGUUUAUGAUAUGUUUGUUUUCAAAUAAAGUUCAAAAUCUACAACUCAGUUCAACACAAAUCUGUUGAGCUUUAAAGUGUAUUUGAAGUAAUAUUUAAAUAGGCAUUUAAAAUUACGAAUUAGAUGUUUUUAAAUUUAUGCAUAGUAAUUUUGCACUGUAAAAUAAUUCCUUUCCCCAUUCCCUCUCUGCCAUUCUGAAUAUGCUUAUUAAAAUAUUUUUUAAACGUAUUUGUUUAAAUAAUGCUGUGUGAAUGAUUUUACUAGAUUGAGUAGGUUUUAAUUAUAAUUUUAAGUUUAUAUGAUGCACAUUGUUUACAUUGCAAAUAUAUACACUCUCUUCCUUCUGCUCCUAGACAAAUUGCAUGCAGUAGUGUUUCAGUGGCUUCUGACCCUUUUUACCUCAUCAUAAAUGAUGUAUUUAUUUAUGGUCUUUUUUUUUUUUUCUCCAGAGAGAUCCUUUGUCUGUGGGACUCUGUUCACUUAUUUCUCUUCCUCUGAAUUAUAUAUAUAAUUAAAAACAUUUUGUUUACUUC
Non-coding RNA from Sus scrofa (pig), 8235 nucleotides. NCBI's taxonomy places the organism in Eukaryota, Metazoa, Chordata, Mammalia, Artiodactyla, Suidae. The record is from RefSeq and is a predicted model, not a curated record.